RNAcentral lists this ribosomal RNA (498 nucleotides) under uncultured bacterium. RNAcentral's name for it is "partial 16S ribosomal RNA". It matches the Rfam family "Bacterial small subunit ribosomal RNA", at positions 28 to 507 of the family's 1533-position model. The record is from RNAcentral.
GACGAACGCUGGCGGCGUGCCUAAUACAUGCAAGUCGAACGAGAGCGACCGGUGCUUGCACUGGUCAAUCUAGUGGCGAACGGGUGAGUAACACGUGGGUAACCUGCCCAUCAGAGGGGGAUAACAUCCGGAAACGGAUGCUAAAACCGCAUAGGUCUUCGAACCGCAUGGUUUGAAGAGGAAAAGAGGCGCAAGCUUCUGCUGAUGGAUGGACCCGCGGUGCAUUAGCUAGUUGGUGAGGUAACGGCUCACCAAGGCCGUGAUGCAUAGCCGACCUGAGAGGGUGAUCGGCCACAUUGGGACUGAGACACGGCCCAAACUCCUACGGGAGGCAGCAGUUGGGAAUCUUCCGCAAUGGACGCAAGUCUGACGGAGCAACGCCGCGUGAGUGAAGAAGGUUUUCGGAUCGUAAAACUCUGUUGUUAGAGAAGAACAAGUGCUAGAGUAACUGUUAGCGCCUUGACGGUAUCUAACCAGAAAGCCACGGCUAACUACGUG